RNAcentral lists this non-coding RNA (143 nucleotides) under Sulfitobacter geojensis. RNAcentral's name for it is "FMN sequence". It matches the Rfam family "FMN riboswitch aptamer (RFN element)". Rfam says of the family: The RFN element is a highly conserved domain that is found frequently in the 5'-untranslated regions of prokaryotic mRNAs that encode for flavin mononucleotide (FMN) biosynthesis and transport proteins. This element is a metabolite-dependent riboswitch that directly binds FMN in the absence of proteins. In Bacillus subtilis, the riboswitch most likely controls gene expression by causing premature transcription termination within the 5' untranslated region of the ribDEAHT operon and precluding access to the ribosome-binding site of ypaA mRNA. The record is from RNAcentral. Lineage: Bacteria; Pseudomonadati; Pseudomonadota; Alphaproteobacteria; Rhodobacterales; Roseobacteraceae.
AAGAAUUCUCAGGGCGGGGCGCAAUUCCCCACCGGCGGUAGGUGGGUUCUCCCACAAGCCCGCGAGCGGCCUUUCACGAGGUGUCAGCAGAUCUGGUCAAAUUCCAGAGCCGACGGUCAUAGUCCGGAUGAAAGAGAAUGCGU